UGAGCUCAGGCACUUUGGUGG
Molecule: microRNA, 21 nt
Filed under: Selaginella moellendorffii
Lineage: Eukaryota; Viridiplantae; Streptophyta; Lycopodiopsida; Selaginellales; Selaginellaceae
Description: smo-miR1115-5p
Source: miRBase by way of RNAcentral